RNAcentral lists this ribosomal RNA (253 nucleotides) under uncultured bacterium. RNAcentral's name for it is "partial 16S ribosomal RNA". It matches the Rfam family "Bacterial small subunit ribosomal RNA", at positions 524 to 776 of the family's 1533-position model. The record is from RNAcentral.
UACGUAGGGUGCGAGCGUUGUCCGGAAUUACUGGGCGUAAAGAGUUCGUAGGUGGUUUGUCGCGUUGUCCGUGAAAACUCACAACUCAAUUGUGGGCGUGCGGGCGAUACGGGCAGACUGGAGUACUGCAGGGGAGACUGGAAUUCCUGGUGUAGCGGUGGAAUGCGCAGAUAUCAGGAGGAACACCGGUGGCGAAGGCGGGUCUCUGGGCAGUAACUGACGCUGAGGAGCGAAAGUGUGGGGAGCGAACAGG